Gossypium arboreum is the source of this 1390-nucleotide long non-coding RNA. RefSeq lists it as uncharacterized. Lineage: Eukaryota; Viridiplantae; Streptophyta; Magnoliopsida; Malvales; Malvaceae. The transcript is spliced from 2 exons. The record is from RefSeq and is a predicted model, not a curated record.
UAGAAGCACUAGUGACAGAUUUUAACCAAAAAUGAAAGUAGAGUAAGCACUGGCACUGGUUUCCUUCUGCAGAAACCUUACCAAAAAAAACCCACUUCAGUUACCAUUCUAUCUCUGAGCUCCACCAGGGAAAAAGAAGAGAACCCAGAGUUGCCUGAAGAAGGGAAAGGUAGAAAAUGGGUAGUAGAUUAGGAAGACGAGUUGUAAACUUGGCGAGCCUUGCAAUCAAGCUAUUGAUGCCAAACACUUUGGCCAACAUCAAAGAAAUAGCUCUCAAAACCAUCCCAUCGGCAUCCAAGAUAGAGAUUAAACGCCUCCUCCAGUCCCUCUACGGUAUCGAUGUCGGCAAAGUCCCUACUCUCAACAUGGUAGUUUAGUUUCGCUAAAGAAGGGUUCGAGUAAAGAAGGAGAACAAGAAAAAGAAAGGGUCCUAAAUCCUAAUGAUUAUGCACGUCACUCGGAUGCCACACAAGAUCUUUUUUAUGUUUGCAGGUUACCUUGUGAACAUUAAAGAUGACAUCCUGAACUUGGAUUGCUAAAUCUGUAGGGAUUUGAGUUGUGGCAAACCUGCAUUCGCUCAAAAAAGAAACGAACCGCAUGAGCUGGAGAUAAUAUACUCUGUAUGCAUCUAAACGUUUUUAUUGAUUACACAGCAAUUAUUAGUUGGAAAUUAUAGUGUUCUGGAAUGAAGUUUUAAGAGCUUGAAUAGCAAGGAAUACAUGUUUUUUUUACCAUGAGAGUUCUUUCCUUUCAAAGCUAUCAGCUGCCAGGAUGAGCUUAUUUGGAACGACGAUGCUUUGGUCAUAGGGUUGAUGAUCGGUGCCAUCGGCGUCACUUCCAACAGGACUUUGAGAGUGAGGCAUUUGAAGAGAUUUCAUGGUAAUGUGCUCUUCCUGCAAUAGUAAUAUUUGGCUUGUUGAGUAACUUGGUACUGUAUAAAUGGGUGAAGAACAUAUGAAACAAAAGUAGGGUGCAGUUUGAGUAAAUGUGAGGAGCAAGUAUGUGGCUAGAAGGGACAUAUAAGAUCAAUUUGGUUGGUGGUGGGCUCUGCUCAUUUCACUGGUUUUUUUAAAAAUAAGUAUAGAAACUGUUGUAAGGAAAAAGAUGGAGAUUGAUCAAGGUUUGAUGUAUUAUAAUUGAAGGGAAUGUUAUGAUUUGUCAAUUUUUGAACCACAUUUAUGCUUUGGGUCGUAUUAUUAAACUGUGAUUGUGUGGCUGACUGGACACAGACACACUGUUGUCCCACAUUUAUUAUACUAGUUUCAGUCCAUAUCCUCCAUCAUGCAACGAUAUCGGUGAAUGUACUGUUUUAGGGUUGAUAUUAAUAUGUUAUAUUGAAUUUAUCGAUGUUUUUAAAUGUUUUUACAUAUAUAUAAAUGAUUAUUAUAUA